GAUGAACGCUGGCGGCGUGCUUAACACAUGCAAGUCGAACGGAAAGUCUCCUGCUUGCAGGGGUACUCGAGUGGCGAACGGGUGCGUAACACUUGGGUGAUCUUCCCUGCACUUCGGGAUAAGCCUUGGAAACUGGUUCUAAUACCGGAUAGGACUAUGGUUUGGAUGCCAUUCUGGAAAGUUUUUCGGUUUGGGUUGAGCUCGCGGCCUAUCAGCUUGUUGGUGGGGUAAGGGCCUACCAAGUCGUCGACAGGUAGCAGGCCUGAGAGGGUGUACGGCCAAAUUGGGACUGAGAUAAGGCCCAGACUAGUACGGGAGGCAGGAGAGGGGAGGAUUGCACAAUGGGAGGAAGCAUGAUGCAGCGAAGCCGCGUGGGGGAUGAGGGCAUUCGGGUAGGAAACUAAUGUCGUUAGGGACGAAGCGAAAGUGACGGUACCGGGAGAAGAAGCACCGGCUAACUACGUG
Molecule: ribosomal RNA, 465 nt
Filed under: uncultured bacterium
Lineage: Bacteria
Description: partial 16S ribosomal RNA
Rfam family: Bacterial small subunit ribosomal RNA
Source: RNAcentral